GCGCUCAUAGCUCAGCUGGAUGGAGCAUUUGAUUGCGGUUCAAAAGGCCAGAGGUUCGAAUCCUCUUGAGCGCACCA
RNAcentral lists this transfer RNA (77 nucleotides) under Campylobacter jejuni. RNAcentral describes it as "tRNA-Arg". It matches the Rfam family "tRNA". From Rfam's summary of the family: Transfer RNA (tRNA) molecules are approximately 80 nucleotides in length. Their secondary structure includes four short double-helical elements and three loops (D, anti-codon, and T loops). Lineage: Bacteria; Pseudomonadati; Campylobacterota; Epsilonproteobacteria; Campylobacterales; Campylobacteraceae. The record is from RNAcentral.